CCAGGCGGGCCCAGCUAUGGGGCUCGCCUUGGACUUCCAGGGGGACCCAGGUGUGCCUGUCUGCGGGGGUGUGGGAACAGGGACACGCCUGACUGACGACUGGGGGUUUAGGGAGAAAGUGCAGGCUGAAGGGUGGGGGUGUGACCAGAAGAGAUCAGAUGGAGGGCCCCAGUUGCCCUAAGCCCACUCCAUCCCCACCCGGUGACCCCUUCCCCCUCGGCCUGUCUGCACUCUCCAGCCCCAGGUCCAGGCUGCGCCCGCCACUUGCUGCACCUCUGCCUACUUCCCUGCUCAAUUCCUGGGCCCCGACCCCAGCCCCAGCCUCUCCCGCCUGCCCUGCUCAUCCUCCCCCGGCCCCUCCCCCGCUGCCUUCCUACAAGUCACGGGGCUGGUUUGCUUUGGCAGCCUCCGCCCGGCCGCAGUGACCUCUGGAGCCAGAAAGUCCUAGCACUAGAUGGGGGGGAUGGGGGGCUUGGCCCGGAAAACACAGCGCUAAGGGCAGAGGCCCAGGCCAAGUGGCCGGAAGCGUCCGCAGGCAGAUAACACACUGUCCCGCCAGCAGCCAGGCGCGGUCCACGUCAGACCCAGGGCCAGGGAGCGCUCCCCUCUGGAUGGUGCUGAGAGAUGGCGCCCUGGGCCGCUCCACUGCCUCCUCCCCGCCUGGCUCCGGGUGUUCCUCUCUGGCAAGUGCGAAGCUGCCCUGUGUGCCCUCACUCCUCGCAGCCACCCAACUCACGCGUUCUCUUGUGCAGCAGUCUCCGUGGCGGCAGCGAUCUUCUUGUAGCAGUAAACCAUCUCUGCCACGAGCCAUAUGGUCAACACGACGAUGAGCACAUACAUCAUGAUCUCAGACA
Molecule: non-coding RNA, 854 nt
Organism: Macaca mulatta (Rhesus monkey)
Lineage: Eukaryota; Metazoa; Chordata; Mammalia; Primates; Cercopithecidae
Source: RefSeq, a predicted model, not a curated record